UCAUGUCAGCCAGCCUUGUGGGACUUUGAACAGCUGUAGCCACUUCUUGUUCUUCAAUAAGCCAGGUCCGAGCCAGCUCCAGUCAGCCAGAAUUCUGUUAUCGUGGUUCCGAAUUAAUAGAUGUCAUUCAAUGUCCUCCAUCAAGAGUGUCGCCAGACACACGGCGCAACCGACCAUCUGAUGUAUUUAUCUUAGUGUGAAUGUUAGAUAUAAAACACUUGAAUAUAGAAAAAAGUGUUUGAAUGAAAUUUUUAUUUAAAGAAAUGAAAAUAGCAGGUCUGUGCUCUAUUUCUGUCAGUGAGCAUUUCUAAUGUUCUAAGAUAUGAACACAACACUGUCAGAAACCCACCCAGCUUAUUUACCAUUACAACAUGACAGCAACACGAAUAACUGAAACCUCCCGUUCAUUCAUCAUUUAGCUCGUCACUUCAGCACAACUGACACAACUGUUUAACCAAAUGAUGGACGCUAGCUGUCAUAAAUCAGAUAACCCUUCAAAACACAGCUGCAUAUUCGUUCUGUAGGUUUACUCUUAUUUCAGAUAACCUUUUUCUUACCUGUGGUUAAUGAUGACAGAGCUCUGAGAUCUGAUUUCUUCUCCAGAAGUGGCAACUCAGACUUGAAAUAGCGCCGGAAAACCAUAGUGGACAAAAGUAUAUUACAUCUGUAGUGAUUUAGCACUACGAUACAAAACGAAUGCGAAACAGUUUAGAUCUGUUUGUCUAAGGUUGUGGGUUCAAGUACAGCAUGGGACAUGUUUCUCAUUUUCCACUUUCAGCAUGUUUGUCAAAAAGGUGCCGUGGUAUACACAUAGCUAAACAUAACUUUAUAGAAAAUCACAAAGCGUUGUCCUUUUAUACUUCAGAACAGGGUCUCAAACUCAUGGCCCGGGGGCCACUUGCGGCCCACGUCACCCCCCCUUGCAGCCUGUAUAUUGACGUGAAGAAAUAUAUUGCAAUUUGGCCCUUUAAGUUUGUUGUUGAAUGCAAUGUUAAAAUAAGUUAUUUAAAAAAUAUUUAAUAUGAAGGAAUAUAAGCAGAGAGUACAUUUAUCUGACCUGCUGAAACCUCAUUCAUCUUCUCGGGCUUUAAGGUCAUUAGAUCAGAGACUGCUGGUGGUACCGCGCACUCGUUUUAAAACUCGUGGUGAUCGGGCCUUUCAGACUGUGGCACCACGGUUGUGGAAUUCUCUCCCACUGUCUCUUCGCUGCACGGACUCCAUUGAUUCUUUUAAGAAACAGCUGAAGACAUUUUUAUUUAGAAAAGCAUUUGAUUAAUUUCUUCUUAUGCUGUUUUUAUAGUUUUAUUGUUUUACAUUGUUUUAUUUACUGUUAUAUUGUUUUUAUAUUUCCAUUUCCUGUGUUGUAAAGCACUUUGUGAUUUUUAUCUGUGAAAAGCGCUAUAUAAAUAAAUUUUACUUACUUACUUACAAACAUUUUGAGGAAUUGUGUUAGUUCAGUGAGGGAGUUAUUUGUAAAUAAAACUAUUUUCACUAGCAGUCAGAACUAUUACUUUAACUACUUUGGUUUGCAGAAUCUGUUUAAGCAUGUGGCCAUUUACCAUUGAAUGAAACCAUAAACAAUAAAAAAAAAAAAAGGUCAGGAAUAAUAGAAAGCACGAUCCUUCAGAAAAUAAAAAGAAGCACAUUGUGCGCUGUCUAUCUUGCGUGCUGCACAAUAUCAUUUAUUACUUAGUAUCUACUGAUAUCUACUGCUAGCUAGUUUAUUGUGAUGGUGCCGUUUUUUUUUAUUAUGUUGCUCUUUGUUGUUUGCUUUCUCUUCUGUUUUUUUUCUCCAUACAGGUGACCCAGGUGUUUUGUUUUUUUUCUUCCCCCCCUUCUCACCGUCUCUUCUCCCCUUUGGUUUUCUUUCUCUCCCUCUCUUUCUUUCAUUCUUUCUCCCUGUCCUGUCGCCCAGUCAUCUCUGUCCCGUUUGUAGGAACUGAAAAUAAAAUAAAUUCAUAAUUAUAAUAAAGGUCAAUCAAAUGGACCAAUAUGGCAAGGCCAUGAUGAUCCACUUGGUAAAAUAAAUCCGCUUGGCAUCUUUCUUGGCCUUAAGACAACAAUUCUGAUGGCUAAAGAUCCAAACGGGACACAAAAAAAAAAGAAAAAAGAAAAAAAAAAGAAGGCAGAAAAGCGGGGCCUGAAGUGGUCAGUCCUUUAAUUAUGCUGAUCUUAUUGACACAUCUUUUUGAAGUGGUAAAGGAAUCUUGCACUCAACAUGCAAAUCCUUUGAAAGACAAACUCAGCUAUUUUCUUGAUGUGUUGCUGUAUGAUUAAGCUAUAUGUUGAGUCCAGUUUUCUUUUCUAUCCAUUUAAGAGUUGCACACAACAAGGAAACCAAGAAAGAAGUGAUGAACGAAUUCCAGGAACUGAGUGAGCAGUUCAGUGAUAAAGGUUUCAAAGUGUUCACAGUGAGUGCUGUUGAGUUCCUGAAAAGAAAACGUGUAAAAGAAGAUGACAAUGGUAGGUUGUAAGCAUGUCAGAAUAUUUUGUGAUUAAAAGAAAACAAUCUUAUUCAAUGCAUAUCUUGUUUUAUUUUCCCUCUAUGUAAACCAGGAAGAAGUUAUUAGAUUAAAUUACUUUUAUUUACAGAAAUACCCAAACUUCAAGACUUCCUGCAAAAUCUCAACGACUGCCACUCUGAGACAAUAAACUAUGUGAAUGGAGCUUAUGGGAUUCUGUCUUUGAUUGAAGGUGCCAGGUGCAGCAAAGCGGUGAGAUCAAGUUAUCUGUGUGGAAC
Molecule: long non-coding RNA, 2740 nt
Organism: Astatotilapia calliptera (eastern happy)
Lineage: Eukaryota; Metazoa; Chordata; Actinopteri; Cichliformes; Cichlidae
Source: Ensembl